GACGAACGCUGGCGGCGUGCUUAACACAUGCAAGUCGAACGGAAAGGCCCUGCUUUUGUGGGGUGCUCGAGUGGCGAACGGGUGAGUAACACGUGAGUAACCUGCCCUUGACUUUGGGAUAACUUCAGGAAACUGGGGCUAAUACCGGAUAGGAGCUCCUGCUGCAUGGGGGGGGUUGGAAAGAUUCGGCGGUUGGGGAUGGACUCGCGGCUUAUCAGCUUGUUGGUGGGGUAGUGGCUUACCAAGGCUUUGACGGGUAGCCGGCCUGGGAGGGUGACCGGCCACCUUGGGCCUGCGAUACGGCCCAGACUCCUACGGGAGGCAGCAGUGGGGAAUAUUGCACAAUGGGCGGAAGCCUGAUGCAGCAACGCCGCGUGCGGGAUGACGGCCUUCGGGUUGUAAACCGCUUUCGCCUGUGACGAAGCGUGAGUGACGGUAAUGGGUAAAGAAGCACCGGCUAACUACGUG
This 468-nucleotide ribosomal RNA is filed under the name uncultured bacterium. RNAcentral's name for it is "partial 16S ribosomal RNA". It matches the Rfam family "Bacterial small subunit ribosomal RNA", at positions 28 to 507 of the family's 1533-position model. The record is from RNAcentral.